GAUGAACGCUGGCGGCGUGCUUAACACAUGCAAGUCGAACGAUGAAGCCCAGCUUGCUGGGUGGAUUAGUGGCGAACGGGUGAGUAACACGUGAGUAACCUGCCCUUGACUCUGGGAUAAGCCUGGGAAACUGGGUCUAAUACUGGAUAUGACUUCUCAUCGCAUGGUGGGGGGUGGAAAGAUUUAUUGGUCUUGGAUGGACUCGCGGCCUAUCAGCUUGUUGGUGAGGUAAUGGCUCACCAAGGCGACGACGGGUAGCCGGCCUGAGAGGGUGACCGGCCACACUGGGCCUGAGACACGGCCCAGACUCCUGCGGGAGGCAGCAGUGGGGAAUAUUGCACAAUGGGCGCAAGCCUGAUGCAGCGACGCCGCGUGAGGGAUGACGGCCUUCGGGUUGUAAACCUCUUUCAGUAGGGAAGAAGCGAGAGUGACGGUACCUGCAGAAGAAGCGCCGGCUAACUACGUG
Molecule: ribosomal RNA, 466 nt
Filed under: uncultured bacterium
Lineage: Bacteria
Description: partial 16S ribosomal RNA
Rfam family: Bacterial small subunit ribosomal RNA
Source: RNAcentral